Molecule: long non-coding RNA, 892 nt
Filed under: Zonotrichia albicollis (white-throated sparrow)
Lineage: Eukaryota; Metazoa; Chordata; Aves; Passeriformes; Passerellidae
Description: lncRNA (ENSZALG00000005584.1)
Source: RNAcentral
GAAAAUAAUUUUAACCGUUUGUAAAUUACAGAAAAAGAAGGGAAAAUUGCACUGUUUCGUUGGUUUUAUAUGUAAGUAAAUGAAGGAUUUAUGUGCAGACUGAAGUUUUAUUUCCCUCUGCUCCAAGCUGAAUUCAAGCUCGGGGUACUCAACUCUACAGCAUUACCCAAGGGAGAGCACUGCAGGAACCUCUUCUCAGGAGCAGCAAGACAAGGUGGAUUUGAGCAGCAGGGUUUGGCAGGAACCAGCAGCCUCGUGGCCAAUGCUCCAUGAAGCAAGACUGACUGGUACAGAUGAGGGACAAUUUUGGUCAAUCAGGCCUCUUAAAGCUCAUGGAUCCACUGUCAGGGCUAGACUCUGAUCCUGUUGCUGUGUUUGGGUUCCCCUCUGUUGGGGCUGAGAGCUCUAAACCGGACAUGCUGCAACUCUGGUUCUCCUCUGGGUGGUCCAUGUGGCACACAUCCUGAGCAGGCUAACCUUGGGAUGUGGGCUUUUGUUACAGAAGAAUUGUGGAUGGGGACUGGAAAAGUACCUGCCUCUGCUCCCCUCCCUUUCUCAUGAGGAAAUCUCCUGCCUUGAAAUGGAAAUGCUGUGCUGAACCAAGUCCUGCUAUGAGAAGGGAGCUGUGCCCUGGCAUCUACAUGGAAGUGAUGAUCCUGCUCUUCAGGAGAAAAACCAUGGAGAAAGCAAAGAUGCAUAAGGGGUCUGGUAAUUGUUUCUCAAAUUUGUUAUUGCAAACUUUACACUGUUGUGAUUUUGCUGCCAGCUUCUGCUAAUCAUUUGUUCUCAGGUUUUAAAGAAUAGAUCCCAAAAUAUAUUUCUUGGCAUCUGGCUCAGUCAAAACAGAAGAAGCCACAAUAAAGAAACUGUCUUUCAAAAAAGGUGAGGACUC